This 651-nucleotide ribosomal RNA is filed under the name Triticum aestivum (bread wheat). RNAcentral's name for it is "partial small subunit ribosomal RNA". Lineage: Eukaryota; Viridiplantae; Streptophyta; Magnoliopsida; Poales; Poaceae. The record is from RNAcentral.
CUUUUGAGUGCGUUCGGGCAUGCCUCUGGACUGUCUUGCAACAUGGCUAAAAGCUCUAUCUCGCUGAUCCGUUGCAGGCAGGAGGACAUUCAUCAAGUGACAGCCACCCUAGCCUGCUCCAUCAAGGAUUUUCCCCUAACCUAUCUGGGGUUGCCACUAUCUGUUACUCGGCUGCCCAAAUCUGCUCUCCAACCACUUAUUGACAGAACCGCGGACUACUUGCCCACCUGGAAAGCACGCUAUCUCCAUCGGGCCGGGAGGCUUAUCUUAAUCAACUCAACGCUCACCGCAGCUUCCAUCUUCUUAAUGCUCGUGCUUGAUCUGUCGGCGUGGUUUAUCUCUUGCAUUGAUAAGAUCAGACGUGGAUUUUUUUGGUGCGGGCAUGACGAGCCCAAAGGCAGGAACUGCUUAAUCAACUGGAACCUUGUUUGCUCGCCUAAAGUUUAUGGUGGACUCGGGAUCCACAACCUCAGGUUACUAAAUCAGGCCCUACUUCUCAAUGGCGCUGGUUCGAGAAGGUCGCUGACGAGAAGCCUUGGCAAGGCCUUGACAUUAAACUGCCUGCUGAGCUUGACAUCAUUUUCAGCGCUGGAUUACAUUGCUUGCUUGGGAAUGGCAAUAACAUCAAAUUCUGGACAGACCCGUGGAUAA